This 402-nucleotide ribosomal RNA is filed under the name uncultured bacterium. RNAcentral's name for it is "bacterial SSU rRNA". It matches the Rfam family "Bacterial small subunit ribosomal RNA", at positions 356 to 773 of the family's 1533-position model. The record is from RNAcentral.
GGGGAAUCUUGCGCAAUGGGCGAAAGCCUGACGCAGCAACGCCGCGUGCGGGAUGACGGCCUUCGUGGUUGUAAACCGCUUUCAGCAGGGACGAAAUUGACGGUACCUGCAGACGAAGCCCCGGCUAACUACGUGCCAGCAGCCGCGGUAAUACGUAGGGGGCAAGCGUUGUCCGGAAUCAUUGGGCGUAAAGAGCUCGUAGGCGGUUCAGUAAGUCGGGUGUGAAAGCUCCGAGCUCAACUCGGAGAGGCCACUCGAUACUGCUGUGACUAGAAUCCAGUAGGGGAGUGUGGAACUCCUGGUGUAGCGGUGAAAUGCGCAGAUAUCAGGAAGAACACCAGCGGCGAAGGCGGCACUCUGGGCUGGUAUUGACGCUGAGGAGCGAAAGUGUGGGUAGCAAAC